GUCCCACGUUCGGAUUGUAGUCUGCAACCCGACCUACAUGAAGCUGGAAUCGCUAGUAAUCGCAGGUCAGCAUACUGCGGUGAAUACGUUCCCGGGUCUUGUACACACCGCCCGUCACACCACGGAAGUUGGGGGCGCCCGAAGCCACUUAGCUAACCCAUUUGGGAAGCGAGUGUCGAAGGUGAAAUCAAUAACUGGGGUGAAGUCGUAACAAGGUAAC
RNAcentral lists this ribosomal RNA (220 nucleotides) under uncultured bacterium. Its description in RNAcentral is "partial 16S ribosomal RNA". It matches the Rfam family "Bacterial small subunit ribosomal RNA", at positions 1284 to 1500 of the family's 1533-position model. The record is from RNAcentral.